This 495-nucleotide unclassified non-coding RNA is filed under the name uncultured Glomeromycotina. Its description in RNAcentral is "SSU rRNA". It matches the Rfam family "Eukaryotic small subunit ribosomal RNA", at positions 591 to 1092 of the family's 1831-position model. The record is from RNAcentral. Lineage: Eukaryota; Fungi; Glomeromycota.
CCAAUAGCGUAUAUUAAAGUUGUUGUGGUUAAAAAGCUCGUAGUUGAACCUUGGGCCUGGCUGGCCGGUCCGCCUCACCGCGUGUACUGGUCCGGCCGGGCCUUUCCCUCUGUGGAACCCCAUGCCCUUCACUGGGUGUGGCGGGGAAACAGGACUUUUACUUUGAAAAAAUUAGAGUGCUCCAGGCAGGCCUAUGCUCGAAUACAUUAGCAUGGAAUAAUAGAAUAGGACGUGUGGUUCUAUUUUGUUGGUUUCUAGGACCGCCGUAAUGAUUAAUAGGGACAGUCGGGGGCAUCAGUAUUCAAUUGUCAGAGGUGAAAUUCUUGGAUUUAUUGAAGACUAACUACUGCGAAAGCAUUUGCCAAGGAUGUUUUCAUUAAUCAGGAACGAAAGUUAGGGGAUCGAAGACGAUCAGAUACCGUCGUAGUCUUAACCAUAAACUAUGCCGACUAGGGAUCGGACGAUGUUAUUUAUUGACUCGUUCGGCACCUUACG